CUGGUGACUUUGAUGGCUCCGUCACAGCAGGUCCCAUGCUGUGGUUCUUACAUAUCCUGCUGCUGGGCUGUGGAGAUGUGGCUGAGUGCAUGAUGCAGAUUCCGCCUCCUCUUUGCCAGCUGCCAAUUCACUGGAGCUGGUUGAAACACUUGGAAAUCUGAAUUUUCUUUGUUCCUGAUUGACCAGACCUUAUAAUUCACAUUUAAGGACGCUUUAAAAAGGCUACAGCUGCCCAGCAAAAUGGUGAACUUUUAAAAAAAUAUGGUUAUGACAAGGUUUGAGGACCCUGAUCGGUUAUAUUCAGAGAGAAACAAAGGGAAUGGGGUCAAAAUGACAGCAACGGAAAUCUUAAAAUAACUAAAGAGUAUUGCGUCUAUCAUUUCCCUUGGGAGAUUUCCAUGAUCUUCUGCUGUGGGUUUACUAGGCCCUUUCCUCUGCUGGUCACCUCUGCCCUGAUGCUCUCCUGAAAUAGGCUCCCGCUCUAACGUGUUGCUGACGAUAUCUGUCUUAGUUUCGUACUGCCACUCAUCACUGCAGUAUCCAAGUGCCUUCCACAUAAAAUCCUCAGCACCAGACUCUAGAUUCUAGAGCCCCUCGGAAUAAAGUAGAGCAGUUUAGGGGCUGAUCCAACUGGCAAAGGUCCCUAUGGGAUCUGUGAAUUGGCACAACGCAGGCAUACUUUGCCCCAUGCUCCCACCACCCCAACACACUCCUUCCUCCCCUCAAAGCAAGGCUGGAGGAUGGGAGGGAGGUGGGGUGGAACCUAGCUACGUCAUUCCAUAAGAUCUGAGAGCUCCCCAUGCCAGAAAUUCUCAGCUGGCCCGCUUGGACCGGACUCCCCCUCCUUGCAUUCCCUGAGUGGGACAAAGUGGCCAGAACAGAAGGAAAGAGGUGUAGAUUUUCCCUUGCUCAGUUCCAUCUCAUUCCUUCUAGGUGCACUGUCCAGUGAGGCAGAGGAAAGAUUUGGGGGCCUCUCUUUAGUGUACUCAGGGCUACCCAGCCCAAGACGGCUCCAGCUAGAACUGGUUGAAAAAAUUUCACCGAAACGUUUUCCCAUCAGCAAAUGCAGUUUUAUAUCAUAGAAUCUCAGGGUUGGAAGGGACCUCAGGAGGUCAUCUAGUCCAACCCCCUGCUCAAAGCAGGACCCCCAGACAGAUUUUUACCCCAGUUCCCUAAAUGGCCCCCUCAAGAAUUGAACUCAAAACCCUGGGUUUAGCAGACCAAUGCACAAAGCACUGAGCUAUCCCUUUUGCAGGAAUGUCACUUUCCAUUGAAAU
Molecule: long non-coding RNA, 1277 nt
Filed under: Chrysemys picta bellii (western painted turtle)
Lineage: Eukaryota; Metazoa; Chordata; Testudines; Emydidae
Description: lncRNA (ENSCPBG00000024196.1)
Source: RNAcentral